Molecule: long non-coding RNA, 662 nt
Filed under: Elaeis guineensis (African oil palm)
Lineage: Eukaryota; Viridiplantae; Streptophyta; Magnoliopsida; Arecales; Arecaceae
Description: long non-coding RNA (EGUI_LNC010117)
Source: RNAcentral
GAGGCAGAGGGGGGCCAUCCCAGGCCCUCCCAGCCACCUCAAUUUAUGACAUCUUAUCAGGGGCCAUGGUGGUAGGCCUUACUGCGCAUGUGGUGUAAUUAAUUUCUCAAGGAUGGCUUGAUUUAGCACAACUUCUUAUCACGACAUACAGUUGGCCACUCAGGAUAUGACCUUGGGAUGAUGUAACUUGAUGUGACCUGACAAGAUUGCGUGGCAAUCAUGCUUGGCAUUUAGCUGCUCGAUCGAUGCCAGUGCCUUGGGAUCCUAGCUCAUGAGUGGGAACCAUGGUCGGUAGAAAGAUGUAAACCUGGAGUCGAGAUUGGGCCCGGCAUGGGUCGAAGAGAGAGGAUCCAUAAAUCGACUGAAUGAAUCUGUUGAAUGUUGCUGCCUAGUUGGCCUAGGGUGACCGAUUGCUGAGGGGAGAGCUCACCAGAAGUCAGUCAGUGGAGUCUCGACCGCUUAGGCAAUGGGGCGUCGAUCGAUUUUUCGAGAGCCGAGAGUCAAUCAGUUGCGAGAGUAGCUAAAGAGGGGUCGGCGAUGAUGAGAGACCUCAAUUUGCUGGGCCUAGAUUUUUUGGGCCUCGGGCCUCUUCACAUUAUCGUCCGAAUGAAAAUUUCUCCCAACAUAUGCCCUCUACUCUCGAGUCCGAAUUUUGAUCGGGG